Molecule: ribosomal RNA, 253 nt
Filed under: uncultured bacterium
Lineage: Bacteria
Description: partial 16S ribosomal RNA
Rfam family: Bacterial small subunit ribosomal RNA
Source: RNAcentral
UACGGGGGGGGCAAGCGUUUUUCGGAAUUACUGGGCGUAAAGGGCGCGUAGGCGGGCGGGCAAGUCCCUCGUGAAAGCCCACGGCUCAACCGUGGAAUUGCGGGGGAAACUGCUCGUCUUGAGUCCGGGAGAGGAGUGUGGAAUUCCCAGUGUAGCGGUGAAAUGCGUAGAUACUGGGAGGAACACCGGUGGCGAAGGCGGCACUCUGGACCGGUACUGACGCUGAGGCGCGAAAGCUAGGGGAGCAAACGGG